Long non-coding RNA from Rhipicephalus microplus (southern cattle tick), 513 nucleotides. The record is from RefSeq and is a predicted model, not a curated record. NCBI's taxonomy places the organism in Eukaryota, Metazoa, Arthropoda, Arachnida, Ixodida, Ixodidae.
UGCCAGCGCCAUGGUCAACGAGAGCAACGCAAGCCGUGGACUUAAGCAACCCUCGGGACACCUUCGCCUUCAGUGAGCACGAAAGCAGCGCACACAGCGGAAUGGCUCUUUAUCUAGUCUUCAGCCUACAGAUCAAGCAUGCAUGGCAAAGGCCCAUUCGUCGCAAUUUGUGCACGAAGCAAGUUAAUGAAGACACAUUACACUGGGCAACUUCUCGUUCAAGUCGCUGCGCCAAACAAGGGUGGCCUUCUUCCGUCAUCAAUCACCGUCGGAAACCUCCGCCGGUGCGCUCAGCGCUGGAAGGCCGAAUACCGAAUGCGUGAGGUGGUGGUGGAACGUUUUCCCCUUGCGUUUUUUUUUUUUUUGGCUUUUAUGGCUAACAAGUUGGACUUUCAAGAACUCGUCGACAUCAUUAGAAAAAUAAUUCUAAAGUUAUCUCGGCUAAUUGGCAUUACGUUGACAAAUGUGAAACUUGCACAGCACUUCCGAAUGAGGCACGACUUUUCGAUGUAG